UAAGCGGAGGAAAAGAAACUAACAAGGAUUCCCCUAGUAGCGGCGAGCGAAGCGGGAAGAGCUCAAAUUUAUAAUCUGGCACCUUCGGUGUCCGAGUUGUAAUCUCUAGAAGUGUUUUCCGCGUUGGACCGCACACAAGUCUGUUGGAAUACAGCGGCAUAGUGGUGAAACCCCCGUAUAUGGUGCGGACGCCCAGCGCUUUGUGAUACACUUUCAAUGAGUCGAGUUGUUUGGGAAUGCAGCUCAAAUUGGGUGGUAAAUUCCAUCUAAAGCUAAAUAUUGGCGAGAGACCGAUAGCGAACAAGUACCGUGAGGGAAAGAUGAAAAGCACUUUGGAAAGAGAGUUAACAGUACGUGAAAUUGUUGGAAGGGAAACGCUUGAAGUCAGACUUGCUUGCCGGAGCUUGCUUCGGUUUGCAGGCCAGCAUCAGUUUUCCGGGGUGGAUAAUAACGGUUUGAAGGUAGCAGUCUCGGCUGUGUUAUAGCUUUCCGUUGGAUACAUCCUGGGGGACUGAGGAACGCAGCGUGCUUUUUGCGAAAGACUCGUCUUUUUCACGCUUAGGAUGCUGGUGGAAUGGCUUUAAACGACCCGUCUUGAAACACG
RNAcentral lists this ribosomal RNA (604 nucleotides) under Rhodotorula glutinis. RNAcentral describes it as "eukaryotic LSU rRNA". It matches the Rfam family "Eukaryotic large subunit ribosomal RNA", at positions 47 to 663 of the family's 3401-position model. Lineage: Eukaryota; Fungi; Basidiomycota; Microbotryomycetes; Sporidiobolales; Sporidiobolaceae. The record is from RNAcentral.